UGAGGAAUUUUGCGCAAUGGGGGAAACCCUGACGCAGCAACGCCGCGUGAGUGAUGAAGGCUUUCGGGUCGUAAAACUCUGUCAAGUGGGAAGAACCCACAUAGUGUUAAUAACACUUUGUGUUGACGGUACC
RNAcentral lists this ribosomal RNA (133 nucleotides) under uncultured bacterium. RNAcentral's name for it is "partial 16S ribosomal RNA". It matches the Rfam family "Bacterial small subunit ribosomal RNA", at positions 355 to 479 of the family's 1533-position model. The record is from RNAcentral.